Mycena alexandri is the source of this 95-nucleotide non-coding RNA. The record is from the annotation of a GenBank genome assembly. Lineage: Eukaryota; Fungi; Basidiomycota; Agaricomycetes; Agaricales; Mycenaceae.
GGCCCAAUGGCACAUUGGUUAGUGUGCUCGCUUUAGUUAUCUAAAUCUUUUGCCAGCUUAGGCAAGAGGUCCCCGUUCGAUUCGGGGUUGGGUUA